RNAcentral lists this ribosomal RNA (388 nucleotides) under uncultured bacterium. Its description in RNAcentral is "partial 16S ribosomal RNA". It matches the Rfam family "Bacterial small subunit ribosomal RNA", at positions 523 to 918 of the family's 1533-position model. The record is from RNAcentral.
AUACAUAGGGGGCGAGCGUUAUCCGGAUUUAUUGGGCGUGAAGGGUGCGUAGGCGGUAAAUUAAGUCUAAGGUUAAAGUGCAGGGCUCAACCCUGUGAUGCCUUAGAAACUGGUUUACUUGAGUUUGGUAGAGGUAAGUGGAACUCCAUGUGUAGCGGUAAAAUGCGUAAAUAUAUGGAAGAACACCAGUGGCGAAGGCGGCUUACUGGGCCACAACUGACGCUGAGGCACGAAAGCGUGGGGAGCAAACAGGAUUAGAUACCCUGGUAGUCCACGCUGUAAACGAUGAAUACUAAGUGUUGGAAAAAUCCAGUGCUGAAGUUAACGCAUUAAGUAUUCCGCCUGAGUAGUACGUACGCAAGUAUGAAACUCAAAUGAAUUGACGGGG